UAAUAUAUUUCUAUACUGUGAGAGAAAGUUAGUGAAGGAACUUGACAG
This 48-nucleotide ribosomal RNA is filed under the name Babesia vogeli. Its description in RNAcentral is "partial large subunit ribosomal RNA LSU4". The record is from RNAcentral. Lineage: Eukaryota; Apicomplexa; Aconoidasida; Piroplasmida; Babesiidae.